Haplochromis burtoni (Burton's mouthbrooder) is the source of this 1058-nucleotide long non-coding RNA. RefSeq lists it as uncharacterized. NCBI's taxonomy places the organism in Eukaryota, Metazoa, Chordata, Actinopteri, Cichliformes, Cichlidae. The record is from RefSeq and is a predicted model, not a curated record. The transcript is spliced from 3 exons.
CAGCCUGCUGCCCUGACUGUGUGCCAACCAUUGUUUGUCAGCCAGGCAAACUUUUCCAGACCACAUGGAGGUCAGGAGGCAUCAGGCAUUUGUUUGUUUUCUCAGUUCAAUAUCUGACACCAACCACCAGCCUAACUUCCUAUCAACUCCUCCAACAAGUCAGUUUUCCUGCAUGAAUCAAGCAAGGCAGCACGAAUGAAUCCAUGUCCAGCUGUCAUUUUCUAUCCUGAUAUUUUUAGAUUCUUUCAAUGUGAGACUUCCUGGAAAUCUGGCAAACCAAAUGGCACAGAAAGAGCGGGGAUCACAGUUUCGAAGCAAACAGGAAGUAUGUGCAGGAUAUGUGUGGAGGUGCUGUUGCUUCUGACCACAGCGAAACAAGAAAGACACAACAGGGACCCAGACAGGACCCACAGCAAUGUCUGGGUUCAACGUAACCGUUCACAUUUUGUGCUACAACAUGAAAAUGGUGUGGCUGUCCUGCAGCUGUAUACAAAAGACAGUCAUGGUUCAGCUGGCAGCUGCCCAGGAACCAGGACAGAAGGAAGCUGUGGUCUGCACAUUCCUCCUCAGCAUCUAAUAGCAGUGAUGACAGCGGGGAGCACAGAGCACUAGCAAUAACCUGGCCAUUGUGCGUCUGACAUGAGCAGGUGUGCUGCAGCUCCUGAUGGUCCCACCCCUUCCUCAUGGUGCUUAGAGAAUGCAGCGAGUGGAUUUAAUCAAUUAGUUUUCCUGGGUGCUGUGACUCAACAGCUUCUCUGUGGGCUGUAUGUGUAGUCUCCGAUGUCUUUAAAUUGAGUAUCUUACCCUUUUAUUAGGUUAUAUAAACUGGGCAAAAUGAGUGCUUCUCAUCGUAUCAAUGCAUAAAUAAUAAAGAGGAUCACCAGGAGCAAAUAAGCCCAGAGGGAACUGCUUUUUUUGUACUGCAUUCAUGCUAUUGACUCAUUUAAACCUACUGAUCAGGUUCAAAACCUGAACUUCACAAUAUAAAAACAAAUUAAUCAAUAAAAAUAAAAUAACAGAACAAUGGUUCCUUAACUUUUGUCAUAUAUACAGUACUG